GACGAACGCUGGCGGCGUGCUUAACACAUGCAAGUCGAACGGAAAGGCCUGCUUUCCCUUGUGGAUUGCGGGUACUCGAGUGGCGAACGGGUGAGUAACACGUGAGUGAUCUGCCCCCAACUUGGGUAUAAGCCUGGGAAACUGGGUCUAAUUCCCGAUAGGACUGCAGGGUGGUGCCUGUGGUGGAAAACGAUUUUCUGGUGGUUGGGGAUGAGCUCGCGGCCUAUCAGCUUGUUGGUGGGGUAAUGGCCUACCAAGGCGGCGACGGGUAGCCGGCCUGAGAGGGUGGACGGCCACAUUGGGACUGAGAUACGGCCCAGACUCCUACGGGAGGCAGCAGUGGGGAAUAUUGCACAAUGGGCGGAAGCCUGAUGCAGCGACGCCGCGUGGGGGAUGACGGCCUUCGGGUUGUAAACUCCUUUCGACCGCGAGGAAGCCACCUGGUUGGAAGGGUGGUGACGGUAGUGGUAGAAGAAGCACCGGCUAACUACGUG
RNAcentral lists this ribosomal RNA (494 nucleotides) under uncultured bacterium. Its description in RNAcentral is "partial 16S ribosomal RNA". It matches the Rfam family "Bacterial small subunit ribosomal RNA", at positions 28 to 507 of the family's 1533-position model. The record is from RNAcentral.